GAUGAACGCUGGCGGCGUGCCUAAUACAUGCAAGUCGAGCGAAUGGAUUAAGAGCUUGCUCUUAUGAAGUUAGCGGCGGACGGGUGAGUAACACGUGGGUAACCUGCCCAUAAGACUGGGAUAACUCCGGGAAACCGGGUCUAAUACCGGAUAACAUUUUGAACCGCAUGGUUCGAAAUUGAAAGGCGGCUUCGGCUGUCACUUAUGGAUGGACCCCGGUCGCAUUAGCUAGUUGGUGAGGUAACGGCUCACCAAGGCAACGAUGCGUAGCCGACCUGAGAGGGUGAUCGGCCACACUGGGACUGAGACACGGCCCAGACUCCUACGGGAGGCAGCAGUAGGGAAUCUUCCGCAAUGGACGAAAGUCUGACGGAGCAACGCCACGUGAGUGAUGAAGGCUUUCGGGUCGUAAAACUCUGUUGUUAGGGAAGAACAAGUGCUAGUUGAAUAAGCUGGCACCUUGACGGUACCUAACCAGAAAGCCACGGCUAACUACGUGCCAGCCGCCGCCGUAA
This 515-nucleotide ribosomal RNA is filed under the name uncultured bacterium. RNAcentral's name for it is "partial 16S ribosomal RNA". It matches the Rfam family "Bacterial small subunit ribosomal RNA", at positions 28 to 523 of the family's 1533-position model. The record is from RNAcentral.